UACAGAGGGUGCAAGCGUUAAUCGGAAUUACUGGGCGUAAAGCGCACGCAGGCGGUUGGUUAAGUCAGAUGUGAAAGCCCCGGGCUCAACCUGGGAAUUGCAUUUGAAACUGGCCAACUAGAGUACGUGAGAGGGGGGUAGAAUUCCAAGUGUAGCGGUGAAAUGCGUAGAGAUUUGGAGGAAUACCAGUGGCGAAGGCGGCCCCCUGGCACGAUACUGACGCUCAGGCGCGAAAGCGUGGGGAGCAAACAGG
RNAcentral lists this ribosomal RNA (253 nucleotides) under uncultured bacterium. RNAcentral's name for it is "partial 16S ribosomal RNA". It matches the Rfam family "Bacterial small subunit ribosomal RNA", at positions 524 to 776 of the family's 1533-position model. The record is from RNAcentral.